RNAcentral lists this transfer RNA (71 nucleotides) under Phrynosoma platyrhinos (Desert horned lizard). RNAcentral describes it as "tRNA-OTHER". The record is from RNAcentral. Lineage: Eukaryota; Metazoa; Chordata; Lepidosauria; Squamata; Phrynosomatidae.
GCCAGAGUGGUGUAGAGGUUUCAGCAUUGGAUUAUGACUCUGGAGACCAGGGUUCAAUUCCCGCUCAUGCC